This 468-nucleotide ribosomal RNA is filed under the name uncultured bacterium. Its description in RNAcentral is "partial 16S ribosomal RNA". It matches the Rfam family "Bacterial small subunit ribosomal RNA", at positions 28 to 507 of the family's 1533-position model. The record is from RNAcentral.
GACGAACGCUGGCGGCGUGCUUAACACAUGCAAGUCGAACGGAAAGGCCCUGCUUUUGUGGGGUGCUCGAGUGGCGAACGGGUGAGUAACACGUGAGUAACCUGCCCUUGACUUUGGGAUAACUUCAGGAAACUGGGGCUAAUACCGGAUAGGAGCUCCUGCUGCAUGGUGGGGGUUGGAAAGUUUCGGCGGUUGGGGAUGGACUCGCGGCUUAUCAGCUUGUUGGUGGGGUAGUGGCUUACCAAGGCUUUGACGGGUAGCCGGCCUGGGAGGGUGACCGGCCACAUUGGGACUGAGAUACGGCCCAGACUCGUACGGGAGGCAGCAGUGGGGAAUAUUGCGCAAUGGGCGGAAGCCUGAUGCAGCAACGCCGCGUGCGGGAUGACGGCCUUCGGGUUGUAAACCGCUGUCGCCUGUGACGAAGCGUGAGUGACGGUAAUGGGUAAAGAAGCACCGGCUAACUACGUG